AACGUAGGACGCAAGCGUUAUCCGGAUUUACUGGGCGUAAAGCGCGUGCAGGCGGCCUGUUAAGUCGGACGUGAAAGCUCCCUGGCUCAACCGGGAGAGGUCGUUCGAAACUGGGAGGCUGGAGGGCAGCAGAGGAGUGUGGAAUUCCGGGUGUAGUGGUGAAAUGCGUAGAUAUCCGGAGGAACACCAGUGGCGAAGGCGGCACUCUGGGCUGUACCUGACGCUAAGACGCGAAAGCGUGGGUAGCGAA
Molecule: ribosomal RNA, 250 nt
Filed under: uncultured bacterium
Lineage: Bacteria
Description: partial 16S ribosomal RNA
Rfam family: Bacterial small subunit ribosomal RNA
Source: RNAcentral